CGGACCAUUCAUGGAGAUGGCUCCCCCCAGGGUGGCUGCUGCUUCCCAGGAGAGAGUUAUCAGGGCUGAAUCAUGGAGAAGAUAAGAACACUGCUCCACUCGUUUUAACAGCUCAUGUAGAUGCUCCUGAAUCUCUGCUGCUCCCCAAGAAAGAAGCUGAAGCGGGCCUCCCUGCAGGGGUAGUUUGAGAAAUCUGACUGAAGAACCACAGACUAGAGAUGGAAUUCCUGGUGCGUUGUGCCUAGAGGAACAGCCCCUGUUAGGAUCCUUUUGCUGGUUAAGAUCUGAACUUCCCCAUGCCCACAGGCAUGUGUGAAGGAACCUCCUCCACCCUCCUCCCAAAAAUAUCUCAAGACCAUCAAUACAGGAACUGCACUAGA
Molecule: non-coding RNA, 380 nt
Organism: Taeniopygia guttata (zebra finch)
Lineage: Eukaryota; Metazoa; Chordata; Aves; Passeriformes; Estrildidae
Source: RefSeq, a predicted model, not a curated record